This is a long non-coding RNA of Oncorhynchus keta (chum salmon), 765 nucleotides long. RefSeq lists it as uncharacterized. The transcript is spliced from 3 exons. The record is from RefSeq and is a predicted model, not a curated record. Lineage: Eukaryota; Metazoa; Chordata; Actinopteri; Salmoniformes; Salmonidae.
UCCCAUCAGCCAACAUAAGGCUAGGUAGAAGGACACCUCAGUCCCAUCAGCCAACAUAAGGCUAGGUAGAAGAACACCUCAGUCCCAUCAGCCAACAUAAGGCUAGGUAGAAGGACUCCUCAGUCCCAUCAGCCAACAUAAGGCUAGGUAGAAGGACACCUCAGUCCCAUCAGCCAACAUAAGGCUAGGUAGAAGAACACCUCAGUCCCAUCAGCCAACAUAAGGCUAGGUAGAAGGACACCUCAGUCCCAUCAGCCAACAUAAGGCUAGGUAGAAGGACACCUCAGUCCCAUCAGCCAACAUAAGGCUAGGUAGAAGGACACCUCAGUCCCAUCAGCCAACAUAAGGCUAGGUAGAAGGACACCUCAGUCCCAUCAGCCAACAUAAGGCUAGGUAGAAGGACACCUCAGUCCCAUCAGCCAACAUAAGGCUAGGUAGAAGGACACCUCAGUCCCAUCAGCCAACAUAAGGCUAGGUAGAAGAACACCUCAGUCCCAUCAGCCAACAUAAGGCUAGGUAGAAGAACACCUCAGUCCCAUAAGGCUAGGUAGAAGGACACCUCAGUCCCAUCAGCCAACAUAAGGCUAGGUAGAAGAACACCUCAGUCCCAUCAGCCAACAUAAGGCUAGGUAGAAGAACACCUCAGUCCCAUCAGCCAACAUAAGGCUAGGUAGAAGAACACCUCAGUCCCAUCAGCCAACAUAAGGCUAGGUAGAAGGACACCUCAGUCCCAUCAGCCAACAUAAGGCUAGGUAGAAGGACACC